RNAcentral lists this ribosomal RNA (649 nucleotides) under uncultured Candidatus Poseidoniales archaeon. RNAcentral's name for it is "bacterial SSU rRNA". It matches the Rfam family "Archaeal small subunit ribosomal RNA", at positions 1 to 656 of the family's 1478-position model. The record is from RNAcentral. Lineage: Archaea; Methanobacteriati; Thermoplasmatota; Candidatus Poseidoniia; Candidatus Poseidoniales.
UUCCGGUUGAUCCUGCCGGAGGCUACCGCUAUUGGAGUUCGAUUAAGCCAUGCGAGUCGAGAGUCCUCGGGACUCGGCGCACCGCUCAGUAACACGUGGGUAACCUGCCCUAUGCUGGGGAAUAACCUCGGGAAACUGAGAAUAAUACCCUAUAGUCCACAAUGCCUGGAACGGUUUGUGGAUUAAAGCCCCGGCGGCAUAGGAUGGGCCUGCGGCGUAUCAGGUUGUAGGGGGUGUAACGUACCCUCUAGCCAUCAACGCGUACGGGUGUUGGGAGACAUAGCCCGGAGAUGGAUUCUGAGACACGAAUCCAGACCCUACGGGGUGCAGCAGGCGCGAAAACUUGGCAAUGCGAGAAAUCGUGACCAGGGAACUCCAAGUGGCUGGGGUAAUACCCAGUUUUUUCUUGACUCUUCAAAGGUCUUGGAAUAAGGGGUGGGUAAGGACGGUGCCAGCCGCCGCGGUAAUACCGGCGCCUCAAGUGGUAGUCGCUUUUAUUGGGCCUAAAACGUCCGUAGCCGGUCUGGUGCAUUCGUGGGUAAAUCAACCCGCUCAACGGGUUGAAUUCUGCGAGCACGGCCAGACUUGGGACCGGGAGAGGUGUGGGGUACUCUCAGGGUAGGGGUAAAAUCCUGUCAUCCUGAGAGGA